Coregonus clupeaformis (lake whitefish) is the source of this 574-nucleotide long non-coding RNA. RefSeq lists it as uncharacterized. The record is from RefSeq and is a predicted model, not a curated record. The transcript is spliced from 3 exons. Lineage: Eukaryota; Metazoa; Chordata; Actinopteri; Salmoniformes; Salmonidae.
GGGAACUCUCUUCUCUCCUCUUUCUGUCCAAGCGUUUGUGUGCUCUCUCCCUCUCUCCUCAGUGGAUGAUCUCUGAGUGGCUCUGUCAGGGUCCUGAAAGGGUCUUGUAGUGUCUGGUAGGGGCCGGUCCCUCCCUCCCUCUAAUCCUCCUGAAUCCACCCUGAUCUUCUGGGUGUGUUAUCAGCCCCAGCAGACAGCCGGAAGGGUCCGCUUCUCUCACCGCCGUCCCAGACACAUCCACCUGCUCUGCACACAGACAACGUGCUCACACAGUGUGUGUGUUUAUGCAUGCGUGCCGGGGGUCGACAUAACACUCAGACGCAAUCCCUGAGGGGGAGUGACUAGGUCGUUACAUUGUUGUUAGGUUCCAAUCAACCCAAGAUGAUGAAUCCUGAAGAUGGGACAAAGUGCAUGACAAGGUGACCCAGAGGAAGCCAGCUGGUUGACCUCUAGUGAGGGGCGAGAAGAGCUGACCAAUCAGAACUGAGGAGGAUUGUUACUGAACCCCAUGAGGAACACCUGAUGCUGCGUUGACUUCUCUCUCCUGGAUCCUGGCUGCUCCCCCUAUGGACAC